UGGACAGAAAAUGCCAGCUCAAUGUC
RNAcentral lists this non-coding RNA (26 nucleotides) under Homo sapiens (human). The record is from RNAcentral. Lineage: Eukaryota; Metazoa; Chordata; Mammalia; Primates; Hominidae.